RNAcentral lists this unclassified non-coding RNA (226 nucleotides) under uncultured fungus. Its description in RNAcentral is "sequence contains ITS1, 5.8S rRNA gene". The stretch from base 178 to 226 matches the Rfam family "5.8S ribosomal RNA", at positions 1 to 49 of the family's 154-position model. Lineage: Eukaryota; Fungi. The record is from RNAcentral.
UUUCCGUAGGUGAACCUGCGGAAGGAUCAUUACUGAGUGAGGGUCUCCGGGCCCGACCUCCAACCCUUUGUGAACCAAACUUGUUGCUUCGGGGGCGACCCCGCCGUUUCGGCGGUGGCGCUCCCGGAGGCCAUUAAACACUGCAUCAUUGCGUCGGAGUUAAAGUAAAUUAAACAAAACUUUCAACAACGGAUCUCUUGGUUCCAGCAUCGAUGAAGAACGCAGC